GGUUGUGGCUCAGUGGUAGAGCACUUAUCUUGCAUGCAUGAGGCACUGGGUUCAAUCCUCAGCACCA
This 67-nucleotide transfer RNA is filed under the name Marmota monax (woodchuck). Its description in RNAcentral is "tRNA.Ala". It matches the Rfam family "tRNA". Rfam says of the family: Transfer RNA (tRNA) molecules are approximately 80 nucleotides in length. Their secondary structure includes four short double-helical elements and three loops (D, anti-codon, and T loops). Further hydrogen bonds mediate the characteristic L-shaped molecular structure. tRNAs have two regions of fundamental functional importance: the anti-codon, which is responsible for specific mRNA codon recognition, and the 3' end, to which the tRNAs corresponding amino acid is attached (by aminoacyl-tRNA synthetases). tRNAs cope with the degeneracy of the genetic code in two manners: having more than one tRNA (with a specific anti-codon) for a particular amino acid; and 'wobble' base-pairing, i.e. permitting non-standard base-pairing at the 3rd anti-codon position. Lineage: Eukaryota; Metazoa; Chordata; Mammalia; Rodentia; Sciuridae. The record is from RNAcentral.